GACGAACGCUGGCGGCGCGCUUAACACAUGCAAGUCGAGCGAGAACCAGACCUUGGUCUGGGAAAGCGGCGAACGGGUGAGUAACACGUGAGUAAUCUGCCCUCGGUACCGGGAUAGCCCGCGGAAACGCGGAUUAAUACCGGAUGGCCCACCUGCCCUUCGGGUGGUUGGAAAGGUAGCUUCGGCCUCCGACCGAGGAGGAGCUCGCGGUGGAUUAGCUUGUUGGCGGGGUAAUGGCCCACCCAAGGCGACGAUCCAUAGCUGGUCUGAGAGGACGAUCAGCCACACUGGGACUGAGACACUGCCCAGACUCCUACGGGAGGC
This 324-nucleotide ribosomal RNA is filed under the name uncultured bacterium. RNAcentral describes it as "bacterial SSU rRNA". It matches the Rfam family "Bacterial small subunit ribosomal RNA", at positions 28 to 349 of the family's 1533-position model. The record is from RNAcentral.